AAUGAACGCUGGCGGCAUGCCUAACACAUGCAAGUCGAACGAAGGCUUCGGCCUUAGUGGCGCACGGGUACGUAACGCGUGGGAAUCUGCCCUCAGGUUCGGAAUAACAGCGAGAAAUUGCUGCUAAUACCGGAUGAUAUCGCGAGAUCAAAGAUUUAUCGCCUGAGGAUGAGUCCGCGUAGGAUUAGCUAGUUGGUGUGGUAAAGGCGCACCAAGGCGACGAUCCUUAGCUGGUCUGAGAGGAUGAUCAGCCACACUGGGACUGAGACACGGCCCAGACUCCUACGGGAGGCAGCAGUGGGGAAUAUUGGACAAUGGGCGAAAGCCUGAUCCAGCAAUGCCGCGUGAGUGAUGAAGGCCUUAGGGUUGUAAAGCUCUUUUACCCGGGAUGAUAAUGACAGUACCGGGAGAAUAAGCUCCGGCUAACUCCGUGCCAGCCGCCGCAGUAA
This 449-nucleotide ribosomal RNA is filed under the name uncultured bacterium. RNAcentral describes it as "partial 16S ribosomal RNA". It matches the Rfam family "Bacterial small subunit ribosomal RNA", at positions 29 to 523 of the family's 1533-position model. The record is from RNAcentral.